Molecule: ribosomal RNA, 496 nt
Filed under: uncultured bacterium
Lineage: Bacteria
Description: partial 16S ribosomal RNA
Rfam family: Bacterial small subunit ribosomal RNA
Source: RNAcentral
AUGAACGCUGGCGGCGUGCCUAAUACAUGCAAGUCGAGCGAACAGACGAGGAGCUUGCUCCUCUGACGUUAGCGGCGGACGGGUGAGUAACACGUGGAUAACCUACCUAUAAGACUGGGAUAACUUCGGGAAACCGGAGCUAAUACCGGAUAAUAUAUUGAACCGCAUGGUUCAAUAGUGAAAGACGGUUUUGCUGUCACUUAUAGAUGGAUCCGCGCCGCAUUAGCUAGUUGGUAAGGUAACGGCUUACCAAGGCAACGAUGCGUAGCCGACCUGAGAGGGUGAUCGGCCACACUGGAACUGAGACACGGUCCAGACUCCUACGGGAGGCAGCAGUAGGGAAUCUUCCGCAAUGGGCGAAAGCCUGACGGAGCAACGCCGCAUGAGUGAUGAAGGUCUUCGGAUCGUAAAACUCUGUUAUUAGGGAAGAACAAAUGUGUAAGUAACUAUGCACGUCUUGACGGUACCCAAUCAGAAAGCCACGGCUAACUACGUG